RNAcentral lists this ribosomal RNA (107 nucleotides) under Phycisphaeraceae bacterium. The record is from RNAcentral. Lineage: Bacteria; Pseudomonadati; Planctomycetota; Phycisphaerae; Phycisphaerales; Phycisphaeraceae.
GUCGGUGACAAUAGGUCCGGGGAGACACCUGUUCCCAUCCCGAACACAGCAGUUAAGCCCGGGCCGCCGAUGAUACUGUUCUGCGGGAAAGUAGGUCAUCGCCGACA